This 1243-nucleotide ribosomal RNA is filed under the name Triticum aestivum (bread wheat). RNAcentral's name for it is "partial small subunit ribosomal RNA". Lineage: Eukaryota; Viridiplantae; Streptophyta; Magnoliopsida; Poales; Poaceae. The record is from RNAcentral.
GUUGACUAGCGUGCACUAUUAAUACAUUGUAGCGAUCCGAUCGAGAAGAUGAGCUCUAUUGGCAUGAUGGAGGCGAGGAUGCCGCCGGGGUUCCGUUUCCACCCACGGGACGAGGAGCUGGUCCUCGACUACCUCCUCCACAAGCUCACCGGCCGGCGCGCAUACGGUGGCGUCGACAUCGUGGACGUCGACCUCAACAAGUGCGAGCCAUGGGACCUUCCAGAGGCGGCGUGCGUGGGCGGCAGGGAGUGGUACUUCUUCAGCCUGCGCGACCGCAAGUACGCCACCGGCCAGCGCACCAACCGCGCCACGCGCUCCGGCUACUGGAAGGCCACCGGCAAGGACCGCGCCAUCCUCGCCCACGGCGCCGGCGACGCGUUGGUGGGGAUGCGCAAGACGCUCGUCUUCUACCAGGGCAGGGCCCCCAAGGGGACGAGGACGGAGUGGGUCAUGCACGAGUUCCGCCUGGAGGAGGAACGGCACCGCCACCACCAGCAGCAGAAGGUCGGCGCCGCCACCGCCGAGGCGAGGUGCCAGCUCAAGGAAGACUGGGUGCUAUGCAGGGUGUUCUACAAGAGCAGAACAACCAGCCCAAGGCCACCAUCUGAUGAAGCCUGCACAUUUUUCAGCGAGCUGGACCUUCCGACUAUGCCGCCGCUCGCGCCCCUCAUCAACGCCUACAUCGCCUUUGACAGCGGCACCGCGAUGAACACCAUCGAGCAAGUGUCCUGCUUCUCCGGCCUGCCGGCACUACCGCUCAGGGGAUCGAUGAGCUUCGGGGACCUGCUGGGCUGGGACAACCCUGAGAAGAAGGCCAUCAGGACAGCUCUGAGCAACAUGUCAAGUAACAGCAAUUCCAAGUUGGAGUUGACCCCAAACUGGAGCCAGGAGAACGGCUUGUCACAAAUGUGGACACCCCUCUGAUCCUGAUAUGAGAUUAUUGUGCUACUAGUUGAAGUGUGGUGGUGACUAGUAAGUAAUUAGAUGACAUAUUCUUUCUAAUGAUAUUGGAGUAGUAUUGGGCUAUUGGUUGAUGCAGUGUCUGUUCCCAGGGAUUUGAUGGAAGUGUGUGUUGAUUUACAAACCAGUAGAUUAGUGGAAUGGCUUGAUAUAGCAUCUGUACAUAGGAAUGCUAAGAAAUGUCCUAUUUUAGUUCUACUCUUUCUUUCUACUCUCCAAAUGUAAUGUAACCUCCAGCUGAAAGUAAAUAUGUGGAUAACGGAUAACCCCUGUUUGUCAUUCA